Molecule: transfer RNA, 73 nt
Rfam family: tRNA
About the family: Transfer RNA (tRNA) molecules are approximately 80 nucleotides in length. Their secondary structure includes four short double-helical elements and three loops (D, anti-codon, and T loops).
Source: Rfam
GGGAAUGUAGCUCAAUUGGCAGAGCAGGUGACUCUUAAUCACUGGGUUGCAGGUUCGAUUCCUGUCAUUCCCA